CAGUCGCCGCGGGAAUACGUAGGUGGCAAGCGUUGUCCGGAAUUAUUGGGCGUAAAGCGCGCGCAGGCGGAUCAGUUAGUCUGUCUUAAAAGUUCGGGGCUUAACCCCGUGAUGGGAUGGAAACUGCUGAUCUAGAGUAUCGGAGAGGAAAGUGGAAUUCCUAGUGUAGCGGUGAAAUGCGUAGAUAUUAGGAAGAACACCAGUGGCGAAGGCGACUUUCUGGACGAAAACUGACGCUGAGGUGCGAAAGCCAGGGGAGCGAACGGGAUUAGAUACCCCUGUAGUCCCUGUCUCUUAUACA
This 301-nucleotide ribosomal RNA is filed under the name uncultured bacterium. Its description in RNAcentral is "partial 16S ribosomal RNA". It matches the Rfam family "Bacterial small subunit ribosomal RNA", at positions 509 to 809 of the family's 1533-position model. The record is from RNAcentral.